ACUUUUAAAAGACCAAUCUUAGUCGUAAGUUUUUUUUUUGAAAUCGACUCCAGGUCCAUCCAUCACUUUGAUUAUUGUCCGAUGUUGAGUGCUUUUUCGGUUAUAGUCAUCAGUGAAGUAGGUUCUGUAUUUGAAUAAUCUUACCGAUGUGGAUGCAACAUUAUAGAUACGCUGCUGAUUACAACUUUAGCAUACUGUCGUUCACCAGGAAAAAAACCAUAAAAGUAAUAACCUAGCAAUAUUAUAUACCUCAAUUAUUAUAAUUGCACCCAAUGUGUACUACAUGUUAUGCACAAAAAGAAGGGAUUUUUUGAAACCAGGGUUGGUGUUAUAUAUCGUAGCAGCGCUACGUAGCUGCAUAAGUAGCUGCUUAUAAUAUGCAGUGCUAUUGACCGGCACCGGCAAAAUAGCAAAUUUGCUAUUUAGCCGGCUCUGAUAAAAACUAUAUCUCACUGUAAUUAAAAUGAUCAAAAUCUUGUAUUUAAAAACUUUUGUUACUGUUACUCAUAUAACACUUAAACUUUUAAUAUCAACUUCAAUAUAUUCUUAAAAUUAAACUUUCCUUUAGAAAAAACCAUUAUGUACAGUACCUGUAUAUGACUUAGGGCAAAUCUGAUAUGUUUGAAAAUUCAUGAAAACUAGUUUCGCAAGAAGAAUUAAGAACGAGCUACAGCUCAACAAGAAGAACACCUACUGGAUUCCAAUUGUUGUGGUUGGCAUGUUUCACACAUAUUACUUCCACCAAAUAUCAAGAAACCUGGGAGGCCAAAAGGUUUGACCCAAACUGUCAUCGAUCGGUCUUCCAAAAAAGUGCACCCGUAAAAACAAUAUGUAAAAGCAAUUGUUACCAUUUCAUAAGAAAAGUUCCAAAGAAAUGGGAUUCUUUUUAUUUAGACUGUUUGUUUAAAGCGAUUUAGCAAAAAAUCUGUAAUAACAACAUUGAUAACGAGGAACAAGUUUGAUCAGCAAGACCUGAACUUUUAACUGUCUUGUUUGUCAAUUGUAAAUAUUUGAUUUAAUCAAAAAGUAUUGUCAAAAGAUGCAUGGGAAGCUUUAAGAGCGUGUUUACAAAGAAAAUCUAUCUUCAUAUGCAACAUAAUUUUUUAUUCACCAUAAUCAGAUUCAAAAGAAGCCAGUGUAAUGUGAGUGUCUGUUUGGUAAGUGAACUUUUGGGCUAGACUUAAACAACUUCCAAAGGCAAGAAUGGUUUUGUAACAAUUGCAAAUGUUAAAUCAUGAUUCCAUUUGAAAUUUAUAGCAAUAACUUUUAAUUUGUGACCGUCUGUCAUGUCUGUUUUAUGAGUUUUACGCAAGGAUUUGUAUGGUAACUAUAUAGUUACUAUACAAAUCUUGUUUUACAUACUGAUUUUUAUCACACGGAGGAUAUUUAACCAUAGAUUUUAUACAGAUUUGAAACACUUUAUAAAUAUUUAAAAAAAAAUAUUUUAAAUGUAUAUACAAAUGUUUUCAUGCUUUUAAAUUAUAUCAUAAAGUUAAAAUUAUUUACUAUAAACAUCUUUAAUAUUUUAUUUUUGAUUGUACGUAUUUUAAUGCUUGAUAUUGUCAUGAUUGUGAUAAAAGAUUUAAAUUAUAAUUAAGAUUUCAUUCUCUACUAAUCAUGUCAAUAACAGUUUUAUUCAUGCCGGCUAAUAGCAAAUUUGCUAUUUUGCCGUGGCCGUCAAAUAGCCACUGCCUAUAAAUACUAUGUAGCAAUAGUCUGUGCACACGUUCAAUGCAAAACUAGUAAUGCUACGUAGCACUGCUACGAAUUGAACUACCCGUCCAUUCAUUGGACACCGUCAGUUUACUUUAUUAAUAUUAAUACCUUUAUCCUUUAUUAACUUCCGUCCUUUCAUAAGCCAACGGCUUCUACUGACCCCUCAUCUUGGAUUGUCGUAAUGCGAUGUCUCGUCUCAUAAUAAUAUAUUAGACUUAUUAAAAAAAAUUAUUAGGUACAUGUAUCUAAUGGGUCUGAUCAAGCCAUGGACACAACCCAGUAAAAAGUGAGGGUUCAACUAUAGCCCCCAUGAACAUAUGUUCAAAUAGACAAGACAAUAUUGUUGACAAACGCAUUACAAAUUAUAAAUGGUAAUGACGAAUGGAUAAACAAUUGCAAUACAUAUACAUAAAUAAAACAAUUAAUUAAUAUAAUAUGUGUAAUAUUAAGGUAUAAUGAAAUCUAUUGCAAUAUAUUACAUUUUUAGCUCACCUUCCCAGGGACAAUGAGCUUAUGCCAUACUUGGCGUCCGUCGUCGUCGUCAUCUGUCGCGUCGUCCGUCGUCUGUCGUCGUCGUCGUCGUAACUAUUCAAGAAUCUCUCUCUGAAACUACUGGACAAAUCUUCAAACUUUAACUGAAUGUUCCUUAGGGUAUCUAAUUUAUAAAUGUAUCCGAAGUUUUAUCUAUCAACAAACAUGAUCGCCAUUGCUAAAAAUAGAACAUAGGGGUCAAAUGCAGUUUUUGGUUAUAACUCAAAAACCAAAGCAUUUAGAGCAAAUCGACAGGGUUAUUGUUUAUCAGGUCAAGAUCUAUCUGCCCUGUAUUUCAGAUGAAUCAGACAACCCGUUGUUGGGUGCUGCCCUGAAUUGGUCAUUUUUAAGGAAAUUUUCUGUUUUUGGUUAUUAUCUUGUAUUAUUAUAGUGAGAUAAACUGUAAACAGGAAUAAUGUAAGCAAGUAAGAUUUACAAAUAAGCAACAUGACGGAAAUGGUCGUUGACGCCUUAGGAGUUAAUUCCUUUAUAGUCAAUUUUAACAUUUUCGUAAUCUAGUAAUCUUUACAAAUCUUCUCCUCUGAACUACUGGCAAAAUACUCCAAACUUAACUGAAUGUUCCUGGGGUAUCUAGUUGUAAAUUGUAUCUGAAGUUAUGAUCUAUCAACAACAUGGUCGCAUUGUAAAAAGAACAUAGGGUCAAAUGCAGUUUUUGGUUAUAACUAAAAACAAAGAUUUAGAGCAAAUCUGACUGGGUAUAUUGUUUAUCAGGUCAAGAUCUAUCUGGCCCUAAAUUUUAGAUGAACAGACAACUGUUGUUGGGUUGUGCCUGAAUUAUAAUUUUAAGAAAUUUGCUGUUUUUUUAUUAUCUUGAAUAUAAUUUAGUAGAAAUAAACUGUAAACACAUAUGUUCAGCAAAGUAAGAUCUUCAAUUAAAGUCAAUUUGACCAAAAUUAUCAUUGACCCCUUAGGAGUUAUAGCCCUUAAAGACUUUUUUUCAGAUUUGUUCAUAUGUUGAUACUUUAAAAAAUCUUCUCCUUUGAACGCUGUACAAUUCAGCCAAACUUAGCUAAAUGAGUUUCAGAGUACUAGUUAAAUUUUAUAUUUUAUUUCCUUGUAUUCAAGAACAUAGCUACUAUGGCUAAAAUAGAACAUAGGAGAAAUUAUUUUUUUUUUGCUUUUGAAGAAAUAGACGAUCCAAAAAACAUUUAAAUAAAUUGAUAACCAAAAUAAUCAUUGAUGAGAUUAACAAAGAUUAAGGUGAGCGAUUCAGGCUCUUGAGAGCCUCUUGUACUUCUUGCAUUAAACAAUUUGUUACGAAAGAGAAGAUAAUUUUAGUGCCGUAUAAGAUGUGUCACCAAGGUCCUCCAGAGCAUGUUAGAUAAGGGGAGCUAAUCGUAUUGCGGAACCAGAUUGCUAGAUUAUGUUUGUAGGUAUAGCUAAAACGCAAGGAAGGUUUUCAUAAUUUAAUUACUAUAACAAUUUAGACGAAAUAUGAUAACAAAUCAAUUAGUAAACAUCCAAAUAAUAUCUAUUAAAGUAAAAGUAUCAAUCUAAAUUCAAAUCCCAAAGUAAGUUAUUUCUCCUUAAAAUGUAAAAAUAAAAUAAAUGCCAAAGCUUAAAAACAUAAAUGUAUUGAUCUCAUUUCAAAAUAUAAAGUCUAAAAUAAAUGUUUCCAAAGUAUUUUUUUUAGUUAAUUAGAGUCAGAAUAAAUGUUGUCUCACACUCACAAUCACUGGUGACUGGUAGACAGUCUUAUAGGUCCAGUAUAAUGACAUGAGUAGUGUGAGGUUACGCUUCCGAAACACUGACUGUUUUUCUAAAAUUAUUCUCAAAAUAAAAGGUGAGUCAAAAAUACAUUUUUGUCUAAACACUACAAAGUCAACUAGUAGACUGAUCGACAGUCUUACAGAUCCAGUAUAAUAGACUUUAGUAGUGAAAGGUUAGGUUUCCGAAAGGUGACUGAUUUUCCUAAAUUUCACAACGCUAUUUAUAUUAAAUCCAAAUAUAAAUCAAUAUGACUCGACAUGUAAAUAUUACUCUCAUUAACAAAAAAUAGACAUUAAUUACCAAAGCCUAAUCCUAUAAUGUUUUGAUAAAAAUCUAAACUUUCAAAGUGACAUAUGCUAAUUACAAUUAGUCUUUCAAAAUAAAGUGCUUUGAGCAAACUGUGACAUUUCGAGUACUAAUGCCUCAGCAUAGGUAAAAUUAAUUAAACAGAUUAAUUAAAACUUUUACAAAAUACAAACAUUAAAUUUUCUUUCAUAAAAUAAAACAUAUUUAUAUUAUGUACUAUUAAGUAUAAGAUUUAUUUUAUUUUUAUCGCACAAUGUGGUAAUUUGGAACAUUUUUACGGUUUUGAAUUUGAGCCGAUCUGCAUUUCAUUUGUGCGAUUUUAUCUUCAUUUGCGCCGAUUUUUACAGGUAAAUACAGGUGAAAGAUUAAGAAGAUGCGUAUAGGCCAAUGAGACAACUUCUAUCCCAGUCAUGUUAUAGUUGUUAUUCUUUAGUUCUAUGUUUGUUUGUAUCUUGUUUGUCUGUUGUCCUGUUCAUUUUAGCCAGGCGUUGUCAGUUUAUUGUGAUUUAUGAGUUUGAUUGUCACUCUGAAUCUUUCGUCCCUCUUCAUUUACCAUUUAUCAACCUCUUCUGUAAGCCAGUUGACAAUUUUAAUGAAUGUCAAUCAUAACAUGUAUAUAACUGUUGUCCUCUGCUCACUACGGGAGGUGGAAGUAGUUUCGAGCAAGAUAAGUCAAUGUAAAAGCUAAUAUUACAUACUUUUAAAGUCAAGAAGUAAAAACUAAGUAAAAGCACUCUGUUAAUGCUAAAAGAAGAUUCAAAUCCAUUACAACGAAUACAUUCAAAUCAUAAUUGUUCUUGUCGAGGUGUAUAGGCAAAACUAAUAUAUCAUAAAUUUCGCAACGGGGUCCAUUUUUCUUUGUCGCUUACGUAACUGAUGUGGCAAUUCUAUAGAGUCUAGCUUUUUACAUACGUUACGGCCUGGAUUUCUUGAUAAAAACUGUAAAACAUAUACAUUAUAAGUUGGGGUGAAGCUGCUCGAAAUGAGGUGGAUAGCGUUACAGUGUGCAUUAAUGUACUUAGUCUGUAGGCUACGAAUGUAAGACAUUUGUCAUCAGAGGGAGCGCAGACAUAUUGUCAAACGUGAACAGUCAUGAUUUCAUUUGGGGGAGGAUGUAACCCGGAAAAAAUGGGAUAGCCAUUUACCAAUGAUGCUUAAUUGUCUUAUACUCUGCUUAGCCAUGUAAAAGUAUUAACUACUGUAACUUACUGUAAAUCCAUUAGGAGAAAAUAAAAUCGGCGCAAAUGAAAAAAUGAAAUCGGCGCAAAUGAAAGAUGAAUAUUUUCAAAAUCGGCGCAAAGUCAUACGCCCAUUUUUAAACAAAGCUCUCUAAUACUGAAGUAACCUCUGCAGUGUAGCAGCAUGUUUUACAGAUUUCACAAAUUCUUUCUCUUUCAAUGGCAAGGUUAUGAGCACUAACUCUUAAUUACAAUUCAUGAUCGAUCUGAUCUAUUUUUUAAGAUCAAAUAACCUGCCAUGCAUUCACUCAUUUUUGUAAACCCUGGGAAAAGUUAACUUUGGAGAUGCUGAAAUUUUGCAUGUUGUCCUGAAAACCUGGUCGAUUAUCUUGUUUAUAAAACCAAACAGGGGUUUAAUAGUAAGGUUAUCAUUUUGACAAAUAUGAUAAACCUAGUUUUGAUAAAAAUAUUUAACCUUUUGCCCAUGGGUUGUCUUUUUUGUAGCAUUAUAUAUUUGGUGAACUAACUUCCUUCUGAAUUGAUUAAAUGGUCCAUAAUUUAAUAAAUACAUGUAACAUUAUCCUAUUUUUCAAUGACAGUCUUGCAAGUUUGGAACGACAUGCAUCAUUUGAGGCCUUACAGUGUACUCCCAAGAUUUCUUUAAAUAUAUGCAACUCUUCACAUGUCUUUAAAUGUCGAAAUAAUCCCCCAGAUUUCGCUACAAUAAAGGUGAAUAGGGGCUACUAAGGAAUCAAAUUUUUUCCCCAGAAGUUUACAAGGGUUUAUAUCUAAUCCUAUCAUGCCUAUUGUUUUCUUUAUUUUAAAAUAUGCUUUCCUAGCUUUUUCCAUAGAAAGUGAUGGCGACAUUUAAACUCCAUUAAAUCUAAUAUUAAUACAGGUAACGAUAGUAUAACUGUCUCUAGAUUGCCAUUAUAAUAAAAUUCGUUUAGAAAGACUUUCCGUUGAAUAAAAACCAUUACUUUUGAUUUCUCUGUAUUGACUUGUAAUUUCCAAAAAGAACAGUAAUUACUUAAUGUAUUGAGACAAUUUUGCAAACCUCUUUGCUUCUGUAAUAAUACAUAUCAUCAGCAUACAAUAGUGCAUUUAAUGAAACAUCACCAACUACAACUGGAUCUGCAUUGAUAUUUUCCAAGAACUUUAAGAAUGUCGUUUAUAAAAAAAUUAAAAAGAAGAGGACUCAAUACAUCUCCUUGUUUAACACCACAGUUUGUUCAAAUGAUGGGCCAAGACAUUAGAAAGUUUAAUUCUACAUUUUGUAUUAGAGUACAUUGAAAAUAUUAUAUUAAAAAUAUGUUUUGGUACAUUACUUUGAAGUAGUUUAUGAAAUAAUCCUAUUCUCCAAAUUGUAUCGAACGCUUUUCUAAGAUCAAUGAAAGCAGCAAAUUUUGUUUUGUUUUUGGAUUUAUAAUUGCUGACAAUAGAUUUCACAGAAAAGAUGUGGUCUGCAAAUGUGAUCAAAUGCAUUGAUCAUAAAAAAAACCCAAAAAAACUUCCCCUCUCCAUCCGCCACUGCUCUGAUGACAUGUAGACUGGGGCGUAGCUCCAUAUAUGCUGUCACGCCAUGGUGUGCACAUCGCGGGGUAAAAAAAUAAUAAAUUACGCUGGAAAAUAAAAUAAAAAAACAAACGAGUAAAAAAUAUAAAAAUCAACUUUCACCAAGCAAAUUAGAAAACGAUACAGUAUAGCUAUUUUAAUAACGUCACAAUAAUAUUUCCGUAUGUAAAAUCAAUUGAUUUGAAAGGAGUAGGUUCAGUAAGACCCCUUUUUGGUCCCAAAAUAUAGCAGUUUUAGAAAAUUGUGAAAAUGUAAUCUUUAAGCUAUAUUUUGGAAAGUAAAAUGCUUUUGCUACAUAAAUAUGAGCUGUUUUUGACAAUACAAUGCACAAAUAUCGCGUUCUAGGCAGGGAUGGGGUCGAUUGCUUUAAAUGUAAAUCGAUUAAAUUACAAUUACUUUGCUUAUAAAAUGUAAUCAAUUACAUUACAAUUACACAUUAUUUCAAAUGUAAUUGAUUACAUUAGAUUACUUUUCUUUAAAGUAAUCAUGAUUACUUGUGAUUACUUAUGAUUACAUUGUAUAUAUUUUUUUGUAAUAUUAUAGAAUUUCUAAUAACUUUUUAUCCUCAUGAAAAAGCUAAUUUUGGUGAUUUUUUUUAAAACUUCUAGCAUCAUUAAGUCAUGCUGAAUUACUGAAAUCUUUAAAAUUUAAGCAUUUUGGUUAAUUUUUAGACGGUUUUCGUCUAAUAUGAAAGUGGCCGCAUUCAUGUUCAUUCAUAAUAUUGAAUAUAAGUUGUAUUUGAUGAUAAUACAAAACAUAUAUAAAGGCUGAGGAUGAACAUGGAUGCGGCCACUUUCAUUUUUGACAAAAACCAUGUGAAAAGUGACGUUUUUUGGCAUAUUUGAUAGAUUUUUAUAUUAAGCUUUAAUCAGAGCGUUUUAAUGACUAAAUCAGUUAAAUCUUCACAAAACUAAUCGAAUCAAUUGAAAUAGACACUUUAGUGUUUAAAAAGUCUCCAAAAUCUUUCGUUAGAUGAACCUGAAAUUUGAGGCCAAAAUCAGCCCUUACUGGACCUACUCCUUUGAUUAUAUGAAUAAUAGUAUGACGUGUUUGGAAAAUGUCAACGAGCAUUUGACAUACAAAUAAUCCAGCUAUGAGGUCACUGUAUUUUUACGUAGAUUUCAUACAGUAGCUCGUACAUUUGUGUAAUGCCCACCACAAACUGGAAAACAUUACCUUUCCGAAACAAAGAACAUACUACAUCAGUACAAAAGUCAGGUGUAUUAACAGUUUCCACUUGAUUCCGUCCGUUCGUCCGUCUGUCCACCACACUUGUAAGGGGUAUAAGUAAACUGUUUAAUCUGUAACUCAAGUGUGUUGAACCAUUAUUAUCAAAAUUUGCAAUUUUGCACCUGUUCAAGUGCAAGGGAAUUCAUCGAGUUUUAAAGAACAAUUUAAUACACCAAAUCAUACAGCAUAUAGCUCUGAAACUAAAGCAUGUAGAGCAAAUCUGAAAUGGGUUAAAAGGUUCAUCAGGUCAAGAUAAAUCUGUCAUUAAAUUUUCAGACGCAUCAGACGCAACCCUUUGUUGGGUUGCUGCCCCUAAAUUGGUAAUUUUAAGGAAAUUUUGCAGUUUUUGGUUAUUAUCUUGAUCAUUAUAUUAGAUAAAGAUAAACUAUAAACAGCAAAAUUGUUCAGCAAAGUUAGAACUACAACUUAGUCCAAAAUGUUCAAUUGACCCUAGAAAGAGUUAUUGCCCUUUAAAGUCAACUUUUUACAAUUUUUCUUAAUUUUACUAAAUUUUUACAAAAAAUCUUUUCCUGUGAAACUACUGGGCAAAAUUGAAACAAACUUGACCUAAAUUAUCAUUAGGGUUUGUAGUUUAAAAAAUGUAACGGAUGACCCUGGGAUCAAUAAAAAUGGCCACAAUGGCUAAAAAUAGAACAUUGGGGUAAAAUGCAAGUAUUGUCCUCCAACAAUGAUUACUUUCAAAAUGGAGGAAACUCAAUUUCUUGUUUAAAAAUUUAAGCAGCAAAAGUGACAAUUUAAAGGCUGAAUUUACAAUUUUAAAAGACGUCGUGCAUUAAUCAUCUUUGGUCAGAGUAAUUUCUAGUGUCCAAUAAAAGUUAAUAAAACUAAACAAAACAGCAAGUUAUUAAAAUAAGUUUACUGAAAGGACAUCAAGGGGUUACUGGUACAUUUACAAAAUGUAUGUUCCACUAUUUUUUACCCUGUACAAUAAAGUGUUUACUCCCAAGUGAAGACUAGAACUAUAUGUAAAAAUAACUAACAUUAGAGGCCAAUUAGAUUGAGAUUAACAUGUUAAAUUUUCUUGAUACACAGAUGUCCUUUGAAUCAUUAGAUAAAAAGUUAAAGAUGAUUUACAUGCUAGUGGAAUAUUUGGAAACCAGUGGAAAUAUAAGGCUGAUCAAACAACAGUGUGCAAGAUAUUCACAGAACAAGGUUAGUUUAAUAAGUCAUCUGUCCAUCUGUUGUUCAGUCUGUCAGUUAGUCAGGCAAUAUGACAUAGUUUAUAAUCCUCUCUCAAACCUAGGACAACUUGUACAUGUUUCAAGAGAAAUCUCUACUUGGUGGAAUUUGAGAAAUAAUAUUCAUAAUUGAAAUUGAAAUUCCAUGGAAAUUCAAGUUUUCUUUUUCUUCUGAUUGAUUGACGUCAAGUGCCAAUCAUUUCAUGCUUUAAUUCAGG
Molecule: long non-coding RNA, 9684 nt
Filed under: Mytilus galloprovincialis (Mediterranean mussel)
Lineage: Eukaryota; Metazoa; Mollusca; Bivalvia; Mytilida; Mytilidae
Source: RNAcentral